GUAUUUUUGGGGUCGGAGGAAUU
This 23-nucleotide microRNA is filed under the name Heligmosomoides polygyrus. RNAcentral's name for it is "hpo-miR-10067-5p". The record is from miRBase by way of RNAcentral. Lineage: Eukaryota; Metazoa; Nematoda; Chromadorea; Rhabditida; Heligmosomidae.